UUGAAAGGGAAACGAUUGAAGUCAGUCAUGCCGGUGGGAAUCAACUUAGGGGAAACUCUAGGUGCACUUCUUCGCUUGGCAGGUCAACGUCGAUUUUGAAUGUCAUAAAAUAAUUGGGGGAAGGUAGCUCCUUCGGGAGUGUUAUAGCCCUUGAUAGAUGUGAUGUUUGGGGUCGAGGAUUGCAACGGAUACCCUUUGGGGCUAGCCGCCUGAUCUCUAAUCGGUGUUGGGUUACGGAUAGCAUGCUGACCGUUUUCUAAUUACUGGUUAAAAGGUUAGAGCGUGCAUAAAUUCGUUAAGGAUGUUGACGUA
Molecule: ribosomal RNA, 312 nt
Filed under: uncultured Glomeromycotina
Lineage: Eukaryota; Fungi; Glomeromycota
Description: LSU rRNA
Source: RNAcentral